UCCGCCCCUCCCGACCCGCCCCAUCCCACCCGAGUUCUGGGGGAGGCGUCCCGCCCGGGAGGUGCCCGACGCGCUUGCGGCUUCCCUGUGCCGAGGGGCCCCCCCCGGGAAGCGACCCCUUCCGUCCUGCCGCAGCCGGACCUUUCCCGGGAGGUCCGCGGCCAAGCCCCCUUCGGGGGGCUCGCCCCGCUAAGUCGUCGGAGACCCAGUCAGAACUUAGAACCCGGGGGGACGCAGGACUCUCCUAAUCCGAGGCUAAUCGCUUUCUUUUACAAGUGAGGAAACUGAGAAACGAGAGACUCAAGAACGGAACUGACCGACUCCAGCUCUCACGGAUAGUGAGGAGCGCCGCGUCCCUCGUUUCAAGGGAGGUUUCCUCCUUACCCCAUUCCUUUUGCAGCCACUCUAGCGAUCCAUUACAUUUAGCGGAAUAACAAGCUGCCCGGAGAGGGGCGGGAGAAGGAACCUUUCUCAGGGUCUUUGCCGCGGGAGGAGAAUCAAGAUGACUUGAAGUCCCAGAACAUUGCAAUCUCCAGGAAGAAGUUUGCAGUCACUCCAAGUCUGAUUUGCCUGUUGUUUGUUCCUUGUUUUUGUUUUCCAAAGAGGACUAAUGGUAUCAAGGAGUGAUAUACUGAAUUGCCUAUGAAUUGGAUUUAAGUCAGGCAGAACUGCACAAAGUAUACAAACUGCAUUCAUUCUUUCUUCCAGAAUUAUUGAAGUCCGGUGACAAGACAAAAUGAUGAUUGGCAAUGUCUAGGAUGCAAAAACUUAGUGUUUUUGAUAUAUCACAAAGCUCUAAAUACUUUGAGGUCUUUGGAAUUGUUUUCAUCCACCCAUUCUGCCAGGGGAACUUAUAUUCCCCUAACUCACCAAUGGUUUUGUGUCCUGACAGUUACCCUCAAUCUGGUGUAGACCUUUUGCUGAGUAGAUUUUAUUAGGGCAUGGCCCUGUAUAUGCUAUAGUUUCACUGUCACGGCCACUGCCAAGGUGCCGCUGCACGUCCAGCUGUCCUCCAGAAAGUGACCCCUUUCAUCCUGUCUUAGCCGGUACAGAAGGGUCUUUGCAGAGGGCUCCAGCGACCAUCUCCCACCUUUCCCUGAAUGCUGUGGCCAAGCCCACUGAAUCCUCCCCUUAUUGACAUACAGGACUCGCCCCACUAAGUUCUUCCCAAUGAGGUCAUUUGGAGAUCCUCUAAAUGUCAAAGGUGGAUGAGCAGACGUGAAAAAGGCUCAGCAAGCUAUCACAUCACAAGUGUUGGUCUGUCUAUCCACACAGGAAAGACCAAGUGGAUGAAAGAUGUCAACAUGCAUUUGGAUUCAACAUGCAACAGUAUACUCAAUCGUUUGUCCAACAGUAUGUUGAAUAUAUGAAGUGCACUGAUCAGGAUUCAGAUUUGAAUAGAAGGAGGGGAGCAGACUGAAUUGCUUUAGGGAAAUUGAAAAUCUCUUUUGCUGACUUGGCUUGAGAAGCCAAGCUCCCCAAGGAAGCCAACCCCCAUCUUUUCAAUCUUAAUAUUUAACUGGCUUUGCUGUAUGGAACUGAGAUUUGUAUAGAAUUAUUCUCUCCAAAGACUUAAAACUGAGUAAGACACAGAAAAUGAUGGAGGGGAUGAAGUGGUGUGAAUUAUUAGGCUGCAACUGUGGAACUCUGAAGAACAGGAAUAAAGAAUAUAUAUUAUCAAGAAAUUAUGUGAUGGAAAGAAAAGAUGAAUUGGUGAAGAGUGACAGGUAGAGUGACAGAGUGCUCCACUACCACAAUUGGGAUGUCAGGAGAAAGCAUGAAAGGAUUCUAAAUGUUGGGUUAGUUCCUGUCCUGAACAUUUGGAAAAGUAUGGACAAGAGUAGAUCCAGGCUUGGAUGGAUAGCCAUCUAUAUCAAGAAAAAACACUCAUAACUUGAUGAGAUAACAGAUUCAAUUGAAUAUCGCAAGUCACAUGGACCUGGUCUUCUUCCUUUGUCCUUGAAGAAGACCAAAGAUAU
Molecule: long non-coding RNA, 1979 nt
Organism: Sarcophilus harrisii (Tasmanian devil)
Lineage: Eukaryota; Metazoa; Chordata; Mammalia; Dasyuromorphia; Dasyuridae
Exons: 2
Source: RefSeq, a predicted model, not a curated record